This is a long non-coding RNA of Zingiber officinale, 471 nucleotides long. RefSeq lists it as uncharacterized. NCBI's taxonomy places the organism in Eukaryota, Viridiplantae, Streptophyta, Magnoliopsida, Zingiberales, Zingiberaceae. The transcript is spliced from 2 exons. The record is from RefSeq and is a predicted model, not a curated record.
UACAAAUCUGUAUUCUCUAAUUGCUAUAAUAAAAUUGUAUAAAUCAUUAUUAGCACACAAGACCAGACUAGCUCUACUUAUUGUAAACACUUCUGGGAGUGACGACAAUAACAAAAAAGAUUUAGAAAACAUGAAAAAGUUGAAAUGCUCUUCGUAAUCAACAAGCUCAACCUUAGGACAAUAGAAAGGUGCAGAGAGCAGCAAGGAGGACAAGAAAUUUGCCCACUCAAAAAAAAAAACACUAUGACCUGAGGAAAGAGAACAACAAUAGGUCAAGAAGGGCAAAAAAUUUGUCCAUUCAGAAAAAAAAUACUAUGAUCCGAGAAAAUGAAGCUCGAGUACAUAUAUAUCUAAAUACAGAGAUAUAGACACACUCUGCUUGUUCUACUGUCUUUUUAGUAUUUCGAUGGAUUGAUCGAAUUGUUCUACAAUUACUUUUUAAUGCUGGGAAUUAUUUUCUUUCUUCCUUUG